GUUAUUGUAGCUUAAUACCAAAGCACGGCACUGAAGUUGCCAAGAUGGAUUUUUAAAAACCCCAAAAACA
This 70-nucleotide transfer RNA is filed under the name Sternotherus carinatus (Razorback musk turtle). Its description in RNAcentral is "tRNA-Phe". It matches the Rfam family "tRNA". From Rfam's summary of the family: Transfer RNA (tRNA) molecules are approximately 80 nucleotides in length. Their secondary structure includes four short double-helical elements and three loops (D, anti-codon, and T loops). Lineage: Eukaryota; Metazoa; Chordata; Testudines; Kinosternidae. The record is from RNAcentral.